CACGGGGGGAGCAAGCGUUGUUCGGAAUCACUGGGCGUAAAGGGCGUGUAGGCGGUCAGGUAAGUGGGAUGUGAAAUCCCUCGGCUCACCCGAGGACCGGCAUCUCAUACUGCUUGGCUUGAGUACGGGAGAGGAUGUGGGAAUUCCUGGUGUAGCGGUGAAAUGCGUAGAUAUCAGGAGGAACACCGGUGGCGAAGGCGCACAUCUGGCCCGAUACUGACGCUGAGGCGCGAAAGCGUGGGGAGCGAACAGG
This 253-nucleotide ribosomal RNA is filed under the name uncultured bacterium. RNAcentral describes it as "partial 16S ribosomal RNA". It matches the Rfam family "Bacterial small subunit ribosomal RNA", at positions 524 to 776 of the family's 1533-position model. The record is from RNAcentral.